GGGGACUUAGCUCAGUGAUAGAGUACUUGCCUGGCAUGCAGGAGGCCCCAGGUUCAAUCCUCAGCCUCUG
Molecule: transfer RNA, 70 nt
Filed under: Neotoma lepida (desert woodrat)
Lineage: Eukaryota; Metazoa; Chordata; Mammalia; Rodentia; Cricetidae
Rfam family: tRNA
About the family: Transfer RNA (tRNA) molecules are approximately 80 nucleotides in length. Their secondary structure includes four short double-helical elements and three loops (D, anti-codon, and T loops).
Source: Rfam by way of RNAcentral